GGUCCAUAAGAUCGCCGUUCGUCAACGAGGCUUCGUACACGAGCGCAAUACCU
This is a non-coding RNA of Rhizobiales bacterium TMED168, 53 nucleotides long. NCBI's taxonomy places the organism in Bacteria, Pseudomonadati, Pseudomonadota, Alphaproteobacteria, Hyphomicrobiales. The record is from Rfam.